UCAGGACGAACGCUGGCGGCGUAGCUUAACGACAUGCAAGUCGAACGAGAAUCGUAUGGAAAGAGGAUUCGUCCAAUGGAAAUAGAGGACAGUGGCGGACGGGUGAGUAACGCGUGAGGAACCUGCCUUUCUAGAGGGGGACAACAGUUGGAAACGACUAGCUAAUACCGCAUAACGCAUUUGUAUCGCAUGGUACGAAUGCCAAAGAUUUAUCGCUGAAAGAUGGCCUCGCGUCUGAUUAGCUAGUUGGUGAGGUAACGGCCCACCAAGGCGACGAUCAGUAGCCGGACUGAGAGGUUGAACGGCCACAUUGGGACUGAGAUACGGCCCAGACUCCUACGGGAGGCAGGCAGUGGGGAAUAUUGGGCAAUGGGCGCAAGCCCUGACCCAGCAACGCCGCGUGAAGGAAGAAGGCUUUCGGGUUGUAAACUUCUUUUAAGAGGGAAGAGCAGAAGACGGUACCUCUAGAAUAAGCCACGGCUAACUACGUGCCAGCAGCCGC
This 502-nucleotide ribosomal RNA is filed under the name uncultured bacterium. RNAcentral describes it as "bacterial SSU rRNA". It matches the Rfam family "Bacterial small subunit ribosomal RNA", at positions 24 to 518 of the family's 1533-position model. The record is from RNAcentral.